AUAAUUUUACAUUCCUACCAAGUGAAUUACUAAAUCUGUUCUUCCUAUUACCUCAACCCUGAUACCUAAUCCGACAAAAAGAGAGAUCGAAAAGAGAUGGGCCGGCGCUAUUGAUUGACGUACAUUCCAUCCAACCUACAGCGGUAAAAGAGGGCGCUUGCGUAAGUCGUUAUCCAGUGAGAACUCAGCGGCAGAGGCGGAGGCGGGCCUUGUGGAAACUGCUGCAGCAGGGUUGGCGGAUUUGGGAAGGAGUGAAGAUGGCGGAGUGAGGCGCAUCGCGGCCAGCCGGCCUUUGGGCCGGGGGCGUGAAGGCCCCCGGACGGUCGAGUGCUUCUACUGGCUGGUGAGAGGAAGAACAUUUUCUCUGGCUUCCAGGUGCUUUUAUCUUCAUCUCGAGAAGAAAAUAAAAUUCUGAACUCAGGAUUUGGCAAGAAUCACUCCUUCAGAAAUAACCAGUACAACUAUGCAAAGAUAUAUACAAGGACCCAAUACAAGAAAUGGUUAAAUUCUGAUAUAUACCUAUCAUUCAAUCAUGCAGGUAAGAAAUAAUUUACAUAUGGGCUGGUAUGGAAAGUUGAGAAAAGCAGGUUAUAGAAUAAUGUGAAAUGCCUUUAUGUCUAUGUGUAUUCACCCACAUGCAUAAAGAUUAUUUAUUUUGAACACUUAGUAUGUGCUAAGCACUGCUGUAAUUACAGUAGGUGUACUCAUUAAUUCACUUCAUCCUCACUACAACCAUAGUGUUUGUUUUUUUUUUUAACUUAUUUAGAGAGGAGAUCACAAGGGGGGGGUGCAGAGAAAGAAUCCCAAGCAGGCUCCACACUGUUAGUGCAGAGCCUGACACAGGGCUUGAACCCACAAACAGAUCAUGACCUGAGCCAAAAUGAGUAGGAUGCUUAAGCAGCUGAGCUACUCAGGUGCCCUCAGUCCUAGUAUUUUUUGU
Molecule: long non-coding RNA, 940 nt
Filed under: Suricata suricatta (meerkat)
Lineage: Eukaryota; Metazoa; Chordata; Mammalia; Carnivora; Herpestidae
Description: lncRNA (ENSSSUG00005009085.1)
Source: RNAcentral